UCCGCCCGAGUACUACGAGCAUAGCUUAAAACUCAAAGGACUUGGCGGUGUCUCCGACCCAUCUAGAGGAGCCUGUUCUAGAACCGAUACCCCCCGUUUAACCUCACCACCCCUUGUUUUUAUCCGCCUAUAUACCGCCGUCGUCAGCUCACCCUGUGAAGGAAUAACAGUAAGCAGAAUGGGCCCUACCCCAGAACGUCAGGCCGAGGUGUAGCGUAUGAGGUGGGAAGAAAUGGGCUACAUUUUCUAUAUUAGACCAUACGAACGGUGCCUUGAAAUACGCGCCUGAAGGAGGAUUUAGUAGUAAAAAGCAAG
RNAcentral lists this ribosomal RNA (315 nucleotides) under Steatogenys elegans. Its description in RNAcentral is "partial 12S ribosomal RNA". It matches the Rfam family "Bacterial small subunit ribosomal RNA", at positions 868 to 1356 of the family's 1533-position model. Lineage: Eukaryota; Metazoa; Chordata; Actinopteri; Gymnotiformes; Rhamphichthyidae. The record is from RNAcentral.